This 423-nucleotide long non-coding RNA is filed under the name Setaria viridis. RNAcentral describes it as "long non-coding RNA (SVIR_LNC004196)". The record is from RNAcentral. Lineage: Eukaryota; Viridiplantae; Streptophyta; Magnoliopsida; Poales; Poaceae.
AAAAAUAUCAGUCCCCUAAGAUAAGGGCAACGGCUCUACACGACUGUGAUAAAAUCAUGUGAUCCCUCAAAAAGAGGCAGAAAAUAGGCUCAACAUUAAUCACAUGAAAAUUUAAACUCAAAUCAAAAUCGGCUCCUCAAGAAGAGGUAAAUAGCUCAACGUGACCGGCACAAGAGCACAAGAGCAUACACAAACUCACAAUUACUCUAAUCAAAUAUCGGCUCCUCAAGAAGAGGUAAAGAAGCUCAACACGACCGGCAAGAGCACAAGAGCAAGAAAACUCACAAGAACUUGACGCCCCCUGAACAAAUGCAACUCCCCCUGAACAAAUGCACUCCCCCUGAAAUCAUGCACUCUCCAUGAAAUCAAAGCAUGUAAAGGCUCUCCCACUUGACAAAUGAAUGAGUUUGUAUGAAUUUCUCC